UGAGGAAUAUUGGUCAAUGGGCGCAAGCCUGAACCAGCCAUGCCGCGUGCAGGAUGACGGUCCUAUGGAUUGUAAACUGCUUUUGUACGGGAAGAAACCCUCCUACGUGUAGGAGCUUGACGGUACCGUAAGAAUAAGGAUCGGCUAACUCCGUGCCAGCAGCCGCGGUAAUACGGAGGAUCCAAGCGUUAUCCGGAAUCAUUGGGUUUAAAGGGUCUGUAGGCGGUCUUGUAAGUCAGUGGUGAAAGCCCAUCGCUCAACGAUGGAACGGCCAUUGAUACUGCAGGACUUGAAUUAUUGGGAAGUAACUAGAAUAUGUAGUGUAGCGGUGAAAUGCUUAGAUAUUACAUGGAAUACCAAUUGCGAAGGCAGGUUACUACCAAUUUAUUGACGCUGAUGGACGAAAGCGUGGGGAGCGAACA
RNAcentral lists this ribosomal RNA (422 nucleotides) under uncultured Flavobacterium sp. RNAcentral describes it as "bacterial SSU rRNA". It matches the Rfam family "Bacterial small subunit ribosomal RNA", at positions 355 to 774 of the family's 1533-position model. The record is from RNAcentral. Lineage: Bacteria; Pseudomonadati; Bacteroidota; Flavobacteriia; Flavobacteriales; Flavobacteriaceae.